CAUUUCGAAUCCAAUACAAAACUGGUCAUCAUUACAGCGGCUUCUAUCUUAGCGAAUGCGGAUCCAGAUCCGACAGAACCCGCUUCACUUUUCCUUUCUCAGACGGGCGUAUUUGUCAUCAAACAGAUUGGCUGGGCGCAGUUGCGCAUGGCAGCUCGGCGGCCAUUGGGGCUCUCUUUCCCCCUCCGGAGUGCACUUUGGGAGUCAUCGGACCAGAUGACAAGAUCAUCAUCAUCAGCCAGAGCUCCUAUCCAAAGAAUGCAGACGAGCUGUCAAUCCGUCCACGGGCAACUUGAAGUCAGAGAGAUGGAAUCGGAUGAGUAGGGGCAGCUCUUUGUUUGUGUUCCCCUUGCAUAGGCCUAAGGAAGCCAAGAGACUCGCCUGUGUCUCAUCUGCUUUACAGAUUAGUCUCUCAGUUUUACUGCUAGAUGACUCGAGAGAACUUUGCAGAAUUCCUCCAGCUUGGUGGUGGAUGUCAGUUUCCUGGACUUGAGCUUAAUGGAAGAUUUAUCCCAGUUCACUCCAAAUUUGUGAAGAAUAGAGAUUCAUAUUUAUGAACAAAUGAGAUGCCAUUCUUUUAAGAGAGGGCACAUCCUAUUUUUCUGUACACCAAGCAAUGUUUGAGGAGAGAUUCUCAAGGACGUGGGAUUCUUCAUUCGAGUAUGACACGACACAUACUUUGCUCCUGGAGGAUGAAGGUUUCUGGUUCUUUCAACCAUGUCAUUUUUCAUCUCAGACACUUGUAUAGUGACUGUCAGGUUUAGCAAGUAAAGUACGUCGUAGACUGUGGCAUCAGAUUCUGUAGAUAAUGCUCCUUCGAGGCUCCCUAUCAGUCACAUUAAGCAAAUGAUGACAAGUUUUAACCCUAUCAUCCUCUUAAACAAGAAAGUCGAAAGUGAUAGAUAGAGAUUGAUAGAUAGAGAUGAACAAAGUUCUACUUGUGUCUCCUUAAGAACAGGUUCAGAAGCUGAUUCCAAGCUCUUCUAGAACAGAAAUAGAAUAUCAUGGUGAAGAAAAUAUUCAA
Long non-coding RNA from Musa acuminata AAA Group (dessert banana), 1024 nucleotides. RefSeq lists it as uncharacterized. Lineage: Eukaryota; Viridiplantae; Streptophyta; Magnoliopsida; Zingiberales; Musaceae. The record is from RefSeq and is a predicted model, not a curated record. The transcript has 4 exons.